AAAGUGCGAAAUGUGAUGCGAUUUGCACGAAUCUGUGAGUCAUCUAAUCUUUGAACGCGAAUGGCACUGUUAUGUAAAUAGCAGUAUGUCUGUUUGAGAAUCGCAAACACGAUCAACUCUAGUUAGAGUUGGAAUUGGCCUCAUGCGUCGCAUGACGCAUCUGGUUUGAAUGGAUCAAGUUGAUGGGCUUCCCAGCGAUGCUCAAUGUGUGCUAGCGAGACAGUCGUCCCGAUCUCACAUUUAGUCUCGUUGCAGAGUCCUAAUCACGGCUUGUAAAUACAUUUAUCUAUUACGAUCUCAAAUCAGGCAAGAUUACCCGCUGAACUUAA
RNAcentral lists this unclassified non-coding RNA (329 nucleotides) under uncultured Pezizomycotina. Its description in RNAcentral is "sequence contains ITS1". The stretch from base 1 to 103 matches the Rfam family "5.8S ribosomal RNA", at positions 50 to 154 of the family's 154-position model. The record is from RNAcentral. Lineage: Eukaryota; Fungi; Ascomycota.